AAAUUGACACCGUAACUUCGGGAGAAGGUGUGCCGCUGGCGGUUAGUGACUUCGCGUCACGAAGCUGUUGGUGGUCGCAGUGAAAUGGCGGUUGUGACUGUUUACUAAAAACACAGGACUCUGCGAAGUCGUAAGACGACGUAUAGGGUCUGAUGCCUGCCCGGUGCUGGAAGGUUAAGGGGAUAUGUCAGCGCAAGCGAAGCAUUGAACCGAAGCCCCAGUAAACGGCGGCCGUAACAAUAACGGUCCUAAGGUAGCGAAAUUCCUUGUCGGGUAAGUUCCGACCUGCACGAAGGCAUAACAACAUCCGCACUGUCUCGACCAGGGACUCAGCGAAAUUACAUUGGGGGUGAAGAUGCCCUCUACCCGCGGAAAGACGGAAAGACCCCAUGAACCUUUACUGCAACUUGGCAGUGAUUUUCGGGUUGUUCUGCGUAGGAUAGGUGGGAGGCUUUGAAGCCGGGCUUCCGGGUUCGGCAGAGCCAACGUUGAAAUACCACCCUGAAUAAUCUGGAAAUCUAACCUGCGCCCAUGAUCUGGGCGAGGGACACUGCCUGGUGGGCAGUUUGACUGGGGCGGUCGCCUCCUAAAUUGUAACGGAGGCGUGCGACGGUUCCCUCAGGCUGAUUGGAAACCAGCCGUAGAGUGCAAACGCAUAAGGGAGCUUUACUGCGAGACUGACAAGUCGACCAGUUGCGAAAGCAGGUGUUAGUGAUCCGGUGGUACCACAUGGAAGGGCCAUCGCUCAUCGGAUAAAAGGUACUCUGGGGAUAGCAGGCUGAUCGCGCCUGAGAGUUCACAUCGGCGGCGCGGUUUGGCACCUCGAUGUCGGCUCAUCGCAUCCUGGGGCUGGAGCAGGUCCCAAGGGUUUGGCUGUUCGCCAAUUAAAGCGGUACGCGAGCUGGGUUUAAAACGUCGUGAGACAGUUUGGUCCCUAUCUUCCGUGGGCGCAGGACACUUGAGAGGAGCUAUCCAUAGUACGAGAGGACCUGGAUGGACGAACCUCUGGUGCUCCGGUUGUCACGCCAGUGGCAUAGCCGGGUAGCCAUGUUCGGAACAGAUAACCGCUGAAGGCAUAUAAGCGGGAAGCUGGCCUCAAGACUAGGUGUCCCUGACGCAAGUCACUAAAGGCCCCUCGAAGACUACGAGGUUGAUAGGCUCGGUGUGGAAGCGCUGCGAGGCGCGGAGCUAACGAGUACUAAUAGGCCGUGAGGCUUGACCUA
RNAcentral lists this ribosomal RNA (1223 nucleotides) under metagenome. RNAcentral's name for it is "bacterial LSU rRNA". It matches the Rfam family "Bacterial large subunit ribosomal RNA", at positions 1719 to 2925 of the family's 2925-position model. The record is from RNAcentral.